UGUGUGUGUGUGUGUGUGUGAGUGAGCAUGUGCACGCACACACGCACACACACACACACACACACACU
This 68-nucleotide microRNA precursor is filed under the name Podarcis lilfordi (Lilford's wall lizard). Lineage: Eukaryota; Metazoa; Chordata; Lepidosauria; Squamata; Lacertidae. The record is from RNAcentral.